Rosa rugosa (rugosa rose) is the source of this 991-nucleotide long non-coding RNA. RefSeq lists it as uncharacterized. Lineage: Eukaryota; Viridiplantae; Streptophyta; Magnoliopsida; Rosales; Rosaceae. The record is from RefSeq and is a predicted model, not a curated record. The transcript is spliced from 3 exons.
AAACAGAAAAUAGGAGAGAGAAAUCGGGAGAACCCGAUUCCAACCCCCCCCCCCCUUUCUUUUGCCGUCCAACCCAUCAUCUUCUUCCGGCGAUUUCUUCGCCGUCCGGCCACCCCAGGACAAACCGUUCGGCUUGGUGUGAUCCUCUCCUCCUUCUCUACCUAGUCAUGUAAGUUUUUCCUCUUGGGUACCAUGGAUUCUUGAGUUUUGAAGAGGAAUUUUCAGAAAUGGAAAAAUUGGGUUUUUGCCUUGAUCUUCAGUUUUCCGGCGGUUCCGGCCAGAUUUCUUUGGGUUUUUGGUGGCUGGGACGAUGCUAACCUUCAUCCCUAACCCCUUGCAGCUUGUUUUGAUCGGUGGAGGAAGAUUUGAAGCUGUUUGAGACUGCGAACAGUCCGUGAACAGUAACUAUCGAAUUCUUGGGUUCUUGUUUGAUUUUUCUGGAUAUUCCUACUUGAAUUUGGUUGUUGUUGCAGGACGUACUGAUCCCUCGAGUGAGGAGGACACGGGCAGGCAGCAGGGUUAGCUGCGAGACUCACCAGAUGACUUUGGGUGGCGCGUGUCGGCGCGUCGAGGCAUAUUUCGGCCUAGAGUUGGCUUGCCGGUGAAGGUUGUCUUGCUGUGUUUCCAAGGGUCACACCGUUGAAGUCAUUCCGACAAGGUGACAUGGUUAAGUAUGAGUGCUGAUUAUGGCCGACAGAUGUCAUGCAUGUACAUCUAGUUCGAUACUUCAACGAUUAGCAAUUUGGAAGAAAAUUUUCAUAAGUGAACUACUCAUGCAUACAUAAACAUCUAACGGUUAAUUUUCCGUAAUAUAAUCUAAAAGUGGGGUCUCCCAAACCGUUGAUUAAAAAAUUCUCAACCAGUCCUCAUUUUAGUGAUACUCAUUAUAAGAAUUUCUCAAUAUUAUAUAGUAAGUUGUAGUAAUUUAAAGUGAAAUAAUAAAUAUUGAAUCGCUGACAAUUUCUUAAAAUUUACUUUAAACAUCUUUUUC